GCAGUGGUGGUUCAGUGGUAGGGUGCUUGCAUUUCAUGCAGGAGACCUGGGUUCAAUUCCCAGUCAAUGCA
RNAcentral lists this transfer RNA (71 nucleotides) under Loxodonta africana (African savanna elephant). It matches the Rfam family "tRNA". Rfam says of the family: Transfer RNA (tRNA) molecules are approximately 80 nucleotides in length. Their secondary structure includes four short double-helical elements and three loops (D, anti-codon, and T loops). Lineage: Eukaryota; Metazoa; Chordata; Mammalia; Proboscidea; Elephantidae. The record is from Rfam by way of RNAcentral.